RNAcentral lists this ribosomal RNA (497 nucleotides) under uncultured bacterium. Its description in RNAcentral is "partial 16S ribosomal RNA". It matches the Rfam family "Bacterial small subunit ribosomal RNA", at positions 28 to 507 of the family's 1533-position model. The record is from RNAcentral.
GAUGAACGCUGGCGGCGUGCCUAAUACAUGCAAGUCGAGCGAACGGACGAGAAGCUUGCUUCUCUGAUGUUAGCGGCGGACGGGUGAGUAACACGUGGAUAACCUACCUAUAAGACUGGGAUAACUUCGGGAAACCGGAGCUAAUACAGGAUAAUAUUUUGAACCGCAUGGUUCAAAAGUGAAAGACGGUCUUGCUGUCACUUAUAGAUGGAUCCGCGCUGCAUUAGCUAGUUGGUAAGGUAACGGCUUACCAAGGCAACGAUGCAUAGCCGACCUGAGAGGGUGAUCGGCCACACUGGAACUGAGACACGGUCCAGACUCCUACGGGAGGCAGCAGUAGGGAAUCUGCCGCAAUGGGCGAAAGCCUGACGGAGCAACGCCGCGUGAGUGAUGAAGGUCUUCGGAUCGUAAAACUCUGGUAUUAGGGAAGAACAUAUGUGUAAGUAACUGUGCACAUCUUGACGGUACCUAAUCAGAAAGCCACGGCUAACUACGUG